This 280-nucleotide small nuclear RNA is filed under the name Erinaceus europaeus (western European hedgehog). RNAcentral's name for it is "7SK RNA". It matches the Rfam family "7SK RNA". Rfam says of the family: 7SK was discovered as an abundant small nuclear RNA in the mid-70s but a possible function has only recently been suggested. Two independent studies have found that 7SK RNA binds the CDK9/cyclin T complex (known as elongation factor P-TEFb). Lineage: Eukaryota; Metazoa; Chordata; Mammalia; Eulipotyphla; Erinaceidae. The record is from Rfam by way of RNAcentral.
GGAUGUGAGGGCAGUCUUGCUGCAACAUCUGUCACCCCACUGAUGGCCGGUUGAUUCAGCCGAGCUGGCUGACCAGGCAGGUGACCCCUUUCUCCUUCACGGCUCCAUAUGCAUCCCUCCCAAAGAGUACGGCCUUCCACCAAUAGAGACAGACCGGUCUGCAGUUGAGGGUAUACAAGUAGCUAUGCUCCCCUGUUAGAACCUGCUAGGUGGGGGAGCAGGACUGAGAAACCAGUCCACAGGCUCCAUUAUCAUCUGCAUCUGUAGCAGGCAGCCAUGC